CUACGGGAUGCAGCAGUGGGGAAUCUUGGACAAUGGGCGCAAGCCUGAUCCAGCCAUGCCGCGUGAGUGAAGAAGGCCUUAGGGUCGUAAAGCUCUUUCGCCAGAGAUGAUAAUGACAGUAUCUGGUAAAGAAACCCCGGCUAACUCCGUGCCAGCAGCCGCGGUAAUACGGAGGGGGUUAGCGUUGUUCGGAAUUACUGGGCGUAAAGCGCGCGUAGGCGGAUUAGUCAGUCAGAGGUGAAAUCCCAGGGCUCAACCCUGGAACUGCCUUUGAUACUGCUAGUCUUGAGUUCGAGAGAGGUGAUUGGAAUUCCGAGUGUAGAGGUGAAAUUCGUAGAUAUUCGGAGGAACACCAGUGGCGAAGGCGGCUCACUGGCUCGAUACUGACGCUGAGGUGCGAAAGUGUGGGGAGCAAACAGGAUUAGAUACCCCGGUAGUC
This 439-nucleotide ribosomal RNA is filed under the name uncultured bacterium. RNAcentral describes it as "partial 16S ribosomal RNA". It matches the Rfam family "Bacterial small subunit ribosomal RNA", at positions 339 to 795 of the family's 1533-position model. The record is from RNAcentral.